Molecule: long non-coding RNA, 264 nt
Organism: Rhipicephalus sanguineus (brown dog tick)
Lineage: Eukaryota; Metazoa; Arthropoda; Arachnida; Ixodida; Ixodidae
Exons: 3
Source: RefSeq, a predicted model, not a curated record
CCAUUUCUGUCUAGCUGGUGCGCACACUGCGGACACAGCCCGGCGCAUCAUACCUGCCUGGUGCCAAGUCAAGUGUGGGCAAGUACAUCAGUGCAUCAUGCACCGGCUGUGGUGCCUGUGCAAACUGCAGAUCUCGAUGAAGGAUGACAUGCCAGCAGCCCGCCCAUCACCUGACCGCUGAAUUUGGAGGGAGUACGACAACAAGGCGUUCUACUGCGAUCAAGUGCAAGAGAAAGUGAAACCUUCGGUUGGCACACUUAUAGA